RNAcentral lists this transfer RNA (76 nucleotides) under Candidatus Liptonbacteria bacterium RIFCSPLOWO2_01_FULL_53_13. RNAcentral's name for it is "tRNA-Gln". It matches the Rfam family "tRNA". From Rfam's summary of the family: Transfer RNA (tRNA) molecules are approximately 80 nucleotides in length. Their secondary structure includes four short double-helical elements and three loops (D, anti-codon, and T loops). The record is from RNAcentral. Lineage: Bacteria; Candidatus Liptoniibacteriota.
UGGGGGAUGGUGUAACCGGUAACACGCCUGCCUUUGGAGCAGGAGACUCUAGGUUCGAGCCCUAGUCCCCCAGCCG